This 243-nucleotide ribosomal RNA is filed under the name uncultured bacterium. Its description in RNAcentral is "partial 16S ribosomal RNA". It matches the Rfam family "Bacterial small subunit ribosomal RNA", at positions 534 to 776 of the family's 1533-position model. The record is from RNAcentral.
GCAAGCGUUAUCCGGAUUCACUGGGUUUAAAGGGUGCGUAGGAGGGCAGGUAAGUCAGUGGUGAAAUCUCCAAGCUUAACUUGGAAACUGCCGUUGAUACUAUCUGUCUUGAAUAUUGUGGAGGUGAGCGGAAUAUGUCAUGUAGCGGUGAAAUGCUUAGAUAUGACAUAGAACACCAAUUGCGAAGGCAGCUCACUACACAAUCAUUGACUCUGAGGCACGAAAGCGUGGGGAUCAAACAGG